CCAAGCAGUAUGAUUAUUUCAUUUAUUCACUAUUCCAUUUAUUAUUAAUGUCUCAUUUCAGUUUAACUUUGGCUUAAGUUUUGUAUUUAUUGCAGUUUAUAUGAAAAGGUUCAUGUAGCGUGGUACAGCCUACUGCAGAAAUUAAUAAGCAAAUGUAAAACGAAAUAUAGCCUGCUGUCACUUUAAGAGCCGCACGGAUCCAAAUCACUGUUACACGCGUAUUUUCAUUCUCAACUCUUUGCAUUCAUUUAUUAUAUGACCGACGAAGUUUGUGUCUACAGCAGCUACUGUAUAUACACCCCAAAGGCUCUUUUAAGAGCCACAUCACGAGAGCGUCUUUGGCUUUGCUAUUUUCAGAGCCACAUCGCCCAGCAUCCUUGGCUUUCACCUACAUACACCCCAAGGCUCUUUUCAGAGCCACUCGCCCAGCAUCACACAGCAUUGUGAACUACCUACGGUCAAUCGGGGGUUCGAAUCCAGGAGCAGCUGUUUAAGGUGGCAACCAAUGAGGUCCUGGGUGCAUACAACCUUCGGGGGAAGAAAUCAAAACUAGCCUUCCAAGACCUCAGGAUUUGUUCCAUUAUUAUAGGAGCAACACAGAAGACUUUUAAAUCACUGAAGUCAGUUGAGGUGGAGGAUCUGAUUUCACUGGCCCUGAAAAUGAUCACUAUUGCACACCAAAUAGUCAUGAUGAGGCAGCGAGGAGCCUGGACAGAUAUCUCAAUAAAGAUUGUGACAUCACUGACAUCCAGUCUGAGGAGGAGAGCCACCAUGCCCUGAAAAGAAAAAGAAGACCGAAUCCAGUUUAUCACUCAGACGAGGAGCCCCAGAAUGAGUGCAGAUUCACCCAAGCCCCAAAAGUGUUAUUUCCAGCAGCGACCCAACUAGCCAGUCAGAACAGCCAACCAUCACCACCUCCACGAAUCUAUCAGACCCUCCAACGCCCCAAUUCCCCCAUGUUGUCUUACCCCAAUGUCCCAGCAUCGUUCCCUGGAGAUGAAUUGGUGUUCUCUCCAAUUAAUUUACUCCAGAGGCCAUCUCCUGAAGUUGUUUCAGAUUCUUCAGAAACUGCCAGGUUGGCAUUAAAAGAUGUGGCUAUGCAAAAACUUCUUACUGCAGUGACAGAGCUGUCCAAGGAGGUGAAGGACCUGCGGGAGGAGUUUAGGCAAUUCCGCCAGUCCUGCAGGUGUGGACAAUCGGAGUCUGUGGUACAGCCACUGUCGGAGCCCUUGGAGCUGCCCUUCCACACCAUGGAGGCCCUGGCCCAUGCAGAAGAGACACUGUUAAAUGGCACAAACCGACAGGCAAUGACUGCUCGUCUCGCCACCAUUGGAGGGACUACCCUAGAGGUGAGGGUCCGCCGUAUGAUGGCACACCUGUUGUCGAAUGAACUGGCUCCAAGACUGAACUGGGCUGGAAAAAAGAACAAGGAGCCUACUAAACAAAAACGUCCCUUUAAAGAGUUGGCACUCUGCCGAUCUUUGUUUGGUGCAGAGCGGACAACGCAUCACGACACCGUCACAGCAGAUGACCUACUAACCCGGAACAACACUUCUUCUUCUUCUUCUUCUUCUUCUUCCUUGAUGUUUAACGGCGGUUGGCAUCCAACUUCAAUGGUGCAUUACCGCCACCUACUGUACUGGAGUGUGAACCGGAGCUAGACAAAGAGAAACUAAAACUAAAAUGGAGACUUCCAACUCUCUUCCCCCACCCUUUAAUUAAUAAUUAAAAAAAAUAAAAAUAAAUUUAGAUUUCCAAAAUUGUCUUCUAUAUUCUAUUUGCUAUCCCUGUGUCCUUAAGGAAGGUAAAUAAAUGAGUACUGAUAUCAUUUGAAGUUAAUCCCAGAAGUUCCUUAAGUGAAUUCCCUUGCACCCCCAAAUUCCUUAUGCUUUCUUUCAUCUUUAUCCUUUCUCGAUCAUAUUUUUGGCAUUCAAGUACCACAUGUUCAACAUAUUCAAUACUGUCACAAAAUUCACAUCUUCCUGUUACAUGCUUACCUAAAAUAUGUAAGCACUUAUUUAACCCACAAUGUCCAAUCCUUAACCUAGUGAAAAUUAUUUCUUCCCUUCGACUCCUUCCAGUGAUCCUCUCUGUCCCAACCUUCUGUUGUAUUCUGUAUAAAUGUCUC
Molecule: long non-coding RNA, 2128 nt
Organism: Cyprinus carpio carpio
Lineage: Eukaryota; Metazoa; Chordata; Actinopteri; Cypriniformes; Cyprinidae
Source: Ensembl